AACACGUGAGUAACCUGCCCUUGACUUCGGGAUAACUCCGGGAAACCGGGGCUAAUACCGGAUAUGAGCCGCCYUCGCAUGGGGGUGGUUGGAAAGUUUUUCGGUCAGGGAUGGGCUCGCGGCCUAUCAGCUUGUUGGUGGGGUGAUGGCCUACCAAGGCGACGACGGGUAGCCGGCCUGAGAGGGCGACCGGCCACACUGGGACUGAGACACGGCCCAGACUCCUACGGGAGGCAGCAGUGGGGAAUAUUGCACAAUGGGCGAAAGCCUGAUGCAGCGACGCCGCGUGAGGGAUGAAGGCCUUCGGGUUGUAAACCUCUUUCAGCAGGGAAGAAGCGCAAGUGACGGUACCUGCAGAAGAAGCGCCGGCUAACUACGUGCCAGCAGCCGCGGUAAUACGUAGGGCGCAAGCGUUGUCCGGAAUUAUUGGGCGUAAAGAGCUCGUAGGCGGUUUGUCGCGUCUGGUGUGAAAACUCGAGGCUCAACCUCGAGCUUGCAUCGGGUACGGGCAGACUAGAGUGCGGUAGGGGAGACUGGAAUUCCUGGUGUAGCGGUGGAAUGCGCAGAUAUCAGGAGGAACACCGAUGGCGAAAGGCAGGUCUCUGGGCCGCAACUGACGCUGAGGAGCGAAAGCAUGGGGAGCGAACAGGAUUAGAUACCCUGGUAGUCCAUGCCGUAAACGUUGGGCACUAGGUGUGGGGCUCAUUCCACGAGUUCCGUGCCGCAGCAAACGCAUUAAGUGCCCCGCCUGGGGAGUACGGCCGCAAGGCUAAAACUCAAAGGAAUUGACGGGGGCCCGCACAAGCGGCGGAGCAUGCGGAUUAAUUCGAUGCAACGCGAAGAACCUUACCAAGGCUUGACAUGCACGAGAAGCCACCAGAGAUGGUGGUCUCUUUGGACACUCGUGCACAGGUGGUGCAUGGUUGUCGUCAGCUCGUGUCGUGAGAUGUUGGGUUAAGUCCCGCAACGAGCGCAACCCUCGUCCCAUGUUGCCAGCGGGUUAUGCCGGGGACUCAUGGGAGACUGCCGGGGUCAACUCGGAGGAAGGUGGGGAUGACGUCAAAUCAUCAUGCCCCUUAUGUCUUGGGCUUCACGCAUGCUACAAUGGCCGGUACAAAGGGCUGCGAUACCGUAAGGUGGAGCGAAUCCCAAAAAGCCGGUCUCAGUUCGGAUUGGGGUCUGCAACUCGACCCCAUGAAGUCGGAGUCGCUAGUAAUCGCAGAUCAGCAACGCUGCGGUGAAUACGUUCCCGGGCCUUGUACACACCGC
This 1269-nucleotide ribosomal RNA is filed under the name Cellulosimicrobium funkei. RNAcentral describes it as "bacterial SSU rRNA". It matches the Rfam family "Bacterial small subunit ribosomal RNA", at positions 112 to 1393 of the family's 1533-position model. Lineage: Bacteria; Bacillati; Actinomycetota; Actinomycetes; Micrococcales; Promicromonosporaceae. The record is from RNAcentral.